CAAAUGAGCUACAUCCCCAGACCCUUGUCACUAUUUUAAAAAGAAAGUGGCAUAUUUUGUGACAGUCAGCAGAAGUCCUUGGACACAUUCAAACCUCAAUGGAACAUUAAUUUAUUCAGCGUAAUAUCACCCUUGGAUUCUCACUUCAUCUAUCUUGGUGAACAGAGAGCGUUUAAAGAGAGGCCCGAGAAGUGGGGAAAAAAAGCAGGCGGUGGGAUGCAGGCCCUGCUCCCCGUCAGGGUAUGUUCUGGAGAAACCUUGAGAAGGCUGAUGCUGUCAGAGUCAGUGCAAUUACUCACUGGAAUAAUGGACAGCUAUCAGGAGCUAAACAGCUUUCCUCCACCUUGCUCUUCCACCAUAAUCCUCUGCCUGACCUCAGGCCCAAAGCAAUGGAGCCAGCUUACAACAGACUGAAACCAUGAGCCAAAAUAAACAUUUCCUCCUCUAAGUUGUUUUUCUCAGAUAUUUGUCACAUCAGUGAAGAGCUGACUAACCAUCCCCCCAACCCUCCAACCCCCCAACUCCCCUGGAGCUCAGUCUGGUGUUGGAUGUCUGGCAGAGUCUUAGAACAAGUUCAUCUGUAUGAGCAGUAUCAAGCA
This is a non-coding RNA of Marmota flaviventris (yellow-bellied marmot), 599 nucleotides long. The record is from RefSeq and is a predicted model, not a curated record. Lineage: Eukaryota; Metazoa; Chordata; Mammalia; Rodentia; Sciuridae.